UCCGUAGGCGGGCAAUUAAGUCAGAGGUGAAAUCCCACAGCUCAACUGUGGAACUGCCUUUGAUACUGGUCGUCUUGAGUUACAGUGAAGUAGAUAGAAUAUGUAGUGUAGCGGUGAAAUGCAUAGAUAUUACAUAGAAUACCGAUUGCGAAGGCAGUCUACUAACUGUAUACUGACGCUAAUGGACGAAAGCGUGGGGAGCGAACAGGAUUAGAUACCCUGGUAGUCC
RNAcentral lists this ribosomal RNA (229 nucleotides) under uncultured bacterium. RNAcentral's name for it is "partial 16S ribosomal RNA". It matches the Rfam family "Bacterial small subunit ribosomal RNA", at positions 568 to 796 of the family's 1533-position model. The record is from RNAcentral.